GACAAUGCAGCCAGCUCAGUGAGUGGCUGGUCAUUUGAAAGUAGCACAUUGUGUCUCAUUUUAGUAUUCUGAAUCAGUGCAUCAUAUAAAUGCAUUUUGAAUAAUGCAUGUCUCCUACUUUAAUUACUUGUUUAAUUAUCUUUUGUUUGUUUCAAAGCCUAGAGCAACUGCUGUUGCUUGGAUGAUUAGAAAAUUGCUUCCAGUUGCAGAAAUCUAUUUCCUGUUGUUUCUUCUGGCAGUGAUUGCAGAUCGGCCUCCCCCGGUUAUUCGACAAGGUCCUGUGAAUCAGACUGUAGCUGUGGAUGGCACUUUAGUCCUCAGCUGUGUGGCCACAGGCAGUCCAGUGCCUACCAUUCUGUGGAGAAAGGAUGGAGUCCUCGUUUCAACCCAAGACUCUCGAAUCAAACAGCUGGAGAACGGAGUGCUGCAGAUCCGAUAUGCUAAGCUGGGUGAUACUGGUCGGUACACCUGCAUUGCAUCAACCCCCAGUGGUGAAGCAACAUGGAGUGCUUACAUUGAAGUUCAAGAAUUUGGAGUUCCAGUUCAGCCUCCAAGACCCACUGACCCAAAUUUAAUCCCUAGUGCCCCAUCAAAACCUGAAGUUACGGAUGUCAGCAGAAAUACAGUCACAUUAUCAUGGCAACCAAAUUUGAAUUCAGGAGCAACUCCAACAUCUUAUAUUAUAGAAGCCUUCAGCCAUGCAUCUGGUAGCAGCUGGCAGACCGUAGCAGAGAAUGUGAAAACAGAAACAUUUGCCAUUAAAGGACUCAAACCUAAUGCAAUUUACCUUUUCCUUGUGAGGGCAGCUAAUGCAUAUGGAAUUAGUGAUCCAAGCCAAAUAUCAGAUCCAGUGAAAACACAAGAUGUUCCACCAACAAGUCAGGGGGUGGACCACAAGCAGGUCCAGAGAGAGCUGGGGAAUGUUGUUCUGCACCUCCACAACCCUACCAUCCUUUCUUCCUCUUCCAUCGAAGUGCACUGGACAGUAGAUCAACAGUCUCAGUAUAUACAAGGAUAUAAAAUUCUCUAUCGGCCAUCUGGAGCCAACCACGGAGAAUCAGACUGGUUAGUUUUUGAAGUGAGGACACCAACCAAAAACAGUGUGGUUAUCCCUGAUCUCAGAAAGGGAGUCAACUAUGAAAUUAAGGCUCGCCCUUUUUUUAAUGAAUUUCAAGGAGCAGAUAGUGAAAUCAAGUUCGCCAAAACCCUGGAAGAAGCACCCAGUGCCCCACCCCAAAGUGUAACUGUAUCCAAGAAUGAUGGAAACGGAACUGCAAUUCUAGUUAGUUGGCAGCCACCUCCAGAAGACACUCAAAAUGGAAUGGUCCAAGAGUAUAAGGUUUGGUGUCUGGGCAAUGAAACUCGAUACCACAUCAACAAAACAGUGGAUGGUUCCACCUUUUCCGUGGUCAUUCCCUUUCUUGUUCCUGGAAUCCGAUACAGUGUGGAAGUGGCAGCCAGCACUGGGGCAGGGCCUGGGGUGAAGAGUGAGCCUCAGUUCAUCCAGCUGGAUGCCCAAGGAAACCCUGUGUCACCUGAGGACCAAGUCAGCCUCGCUCAGCAGAUUUCAGAUGUCGUGAAGCAGCCUGCCUUCAUAGCAGGUAUCGGAGCAGCCUGUUGGAUCCUCCUUAUGGUCUUCAGCAUCUGGCUUUACCGACACCGCAAGAAGAGAAACGGACUUACUAGUACUUAUGCGGGUAUCAGAAAAGUCCCGUCUUUUACCUUCACACCAACAGUAACUUACCAGAGAGGAGGCGAAGCUGUCAGCAGUGGAGGGAGGCCUGGACUUCUCAACAUCAGUGAACCUGCCACGCAGCCAUGGCUGGCGGACACGUGGCCUAACACUGGCAACAACCACAAUGACUGCUCCAUCAGCUGCUGCACGGCAGGCAACGGAAACAGCGACAGCAACCUCACGACCUACAGUCGUCCAGCUGAUUGUAUAGCAAAUUAUAACAACCAACUGGAUAACAAACAAACAAAUCUGAUGCUCCCUGAGUCAACUGUUUAUGGUGAUGUGGACCUUAGUAACAAAAUCAAUGAGAUGAAAACCUUCAAUAGCCCAAAUCUGAAGGAUGGGCGUUUUGUCAAUCCAUCAGGGCAGCCUACUCCUUAUGCCACCACUCAGCUCAUCCAGUCAAACCUCAGCAACAACAUGAACAAUGGCAGCGGGGACUCUGGCGAGAAGCACUGGAAACCGCUGGGACAGCAGAAACAAGAAGUGGCACCAGUUCAGUACAACAUCAUGGAGCAAAACAAGCUGAACAAAGAUUAUCGAGCAAAUGACACAGUUCCUCCAACUAUCCCAUACAACCAGUCAUACGACCAGAACACAGGAGGAUCCUACAACAGCUCAGACCGGGGCAGUAGUACAUCUGGGAGUCAGGGGCACAAGAAAGGGGCAAGAACACCCAAGGUACCAAAACAGGGUGGCAUGAACUGGGCAGACCUGCUGCCUCCUCCCCCAGCACAUCCUCCUCCACACAGCAAUAGCGAAGAGUACAACAUUUCUGUAGAUGAAAGCUAUGACCAAGAAAUGCCAUGUCCCGUGCCACCAGCAAGGAUGUAUUUGCAACAAGAUGAAUUAGAAGAGGAGGAAGAUGAACGAGGCCCCACUCCCCCUGUUCGGGGAGCAGCUUCUUCUCCAGCUGCCGUGUCCUAUAGCCAUCAGUCCACGGCCACUCUGACUCCCUCCCCACAGGAAGAACUCCAGCCCAUGUUACAGGAUUGUCCAGAAGAGACUGGCCACAUGCAGCACCAGCCCGACAGGAGACGGCAGCCUGUGAGUCCUCCUCCACCACCACGGCCGAUUUCCCCUCCACAUACCUAUGGCUACAUUUCAGGACCCCUGGUCUCAGAUAUGGAUACCGAUGCGCCAGAAGAGGAAGAAGAUGAAGCUGACAUGGAAGUAGCCAAGAUGCAAACCAGAAGGCUUUUGUUACGUGGGCUUGAGCAGACACCUGCCUCCAGCGUUGGGGACCUGGAGAGCUCUGUCACAGGGUCCAUGAUCAAUGGCUGGGGCUCAGCCUCAGAGGAGGACAACAUUUCCAGUGGACGCUCCAGUGUUAGUUCUUCGGACGGCUCCUUUUUCACUGAUGCUGAUUUUGCCCAGGCAGUCGCAGCAGCAGCAGAGUAUGCUGGUCUGAAAGUGGCACGACGGCAAAUGCAGGAUGCUGCUGGCCGUCGACAUUUUCAUGCGUCUCAGUGCCCUAGGCCCACAAGUCCUGUGUCUACAGACAGCAACAUGAGUGCUGCUAUAAUGCAGAAAACCAGACCAGCCAAGAAACCGAAACACCAGCCAGGACAUCUGCGCAGAGAAACCUACACAGAUGAUCUUCCACCACCUCCUGUGCCGCCACCUGCUAUAAAGUCACCUACUGCCCAAUCCAAGACACAGCUGGAAGUACGACCUGUAGUGGUGCCAAAACUCCCUUCUAUAGAUGCAAGAACAGACAGAUCAUCAGACAGAAAAGGAAGCAGUUACAAGGGGAGAGAAGUAUUGGAUGGAAGACAAGUUGUUGACAUGCGAACAAAUCCAGGUGAUCCCAGAGAAGCACAGGAACAGC
RNAcentral lists this small RNA (3566 nucleotides) under Pongo abelii (Sumatran orangutan). RNAcentral's name for it is "retained intron". Lineage: Eukaryota; Metazoa; Chordata; Mammalia; Primates; Hominidae. The record is from RNAcentral.